This is a long non-coding RNA of Physeter macrocephalus (sperm whale), 3336 nucleotides long. RefSeq lists it as uncharacterized. The record is from RefSeq and is a predicted model, not a curated record. The transcript is spliced from 3 exons. Lineage: Eukaryota; Metazoa; Chordata; Mammalia; Artiodactyla; Physeteridae.
CCAAACUCAAAGAAAGCAGGAAGACGCUACAUAUGCGAAUGUUUACUUAUUGCUGAACUCAGGGCUGCAGGAAGUCAGCUCCUAAAAAGUAGUUACAUUACGCGUAGAUAUUUAUAAACCAACUGCAACUAGUGACCCAGGAUUCAAUUACAACAUCAUCCCUCAUAUUUCAGCAUAUGGGCAAAUUACCAGUGGAGUCAGGAAUAAAUUCAUUCUGCCCUACUGGCGCUUUAGAUCGGGUUGCACAAUCCCGGGGCAAAACUGCCUUCGCCUAGCCCUAAAAGCAUCAGGUACUAAAUACUGUAGUAAGUUAGCGUCAGGACGUUUUAAAGCGAGACGGAAACUCAAGAGUUGCCUGAACCAAUUUAGCCAGCCCAUAAUCCCGAAUUCAGGAAUUUGUCACGUCACUUGAGAUCACAAUGAAAUUAAGUUUUGAUCCCUUUGAGAUCUCUUAGCGCACAAAGUCAGGCUCCUAUCACUGCAAGGGGAAUCCGACCCUGGCUCGAGAAAAACUUGUGGAACUCGUGUCCUUUCCGCCCACCGUGGGGGGGCCGCACCGGUCAGGUCGGGCGAGGAGCCCGGGCGCUAGUUUGGGGGCGCAGCGGGGCCCGGCGGGGGCGGCGAGCGCGCGUCCCCCCGCCCGUUCAGGCGGCGUCGAGGCGCGAGCAGCUCAGCCAGCCUUGCAGAGGGAGCUCUCGGCAGCUCUGGGGUCCCUCUACUCGCAGCCGCAGCAGCGCCGCCUGCGCCACUCGGUGGAGACGGAGACUAGCGGCGGCGACGCGCGGACUGGGAGCGACCGCGGAGCAGCCGGGCGGCGGGGGACGCUCGCAAGGCCGCAGGGAAAUGGUGAUGUGUCCUACUUCAUGAAAUUGGCCCCAAAGACCAAGGAACGUAAAGCCAAACCAACAGGCUAGGCGGUUUCAUACUGGACAGAAACAAGCUUUGAAUACAUGAGGAAGAAGAGUGGGAGACUGGAGGAAAGGUAAGGUUGGAAGAGGGCAAAAGGAAAGGAGGGUAGUCGGGGGAGCCUCCAGGGACCACCAACACAAUAAAUUGUAUCCUGGACUACCUCAGCCUGGUCCCUUUUUUUGCAGUGCAUGCUUAUUAGUUUCUUCCAGGGAGACCCCCAACGAUGGUGGCCAAGGCAUGGCUGUGGCCUUGAUAGACCUGAUUGAUGGGGUGCUUCUCAAGUGUGUCACAGAACUUGGAGGCCCACUUCCUUCUGUCCCCUCAAGAGGCUGGCACAGGCUCCACAGGACAGCUGGGGACAGGCUUUCCCUGCUCUGGUGCAUUUGACUCCCGAUGGUGUCAUCAACCUCCCAUCACUGGAGGCAGCAGGCUCUCAACUGUCCAGAGUCGCGGGAGUGAGUACCUCCCCAAACCUGUGUGACAGCAAGGUAGGAGGAGGUGUGCUGGGAGCAGCUUUGCCCUGUGGGAAGACCUAUGUGAGGCUAUGUGUAUUGGGGGAGGGCAGGGUGUACAGGAGGGAGGACAAGGGCUCUCCCUGCCCCACACCAUCUCACAGACAUGGGCCUGAGCCAGGGUAUAGGAGGCCAUCCAGCCUGACUUCAAGCCACUGAUGGAGAGGGGUUGAGUGGCUGUUCUGGGGUUGGUUCACACUGCUCUGAGCUGGGUAGGGUUAGUGGGGCAAAGACCCGAGGCUCUUUUUGUCUUGGCCUUGAUGGUCCUUCGGCUGUACCUCACAGUGCCCUAAUUCUAGCUCCUGCCCACUCUGACCUUCAUAUCCACCCUCACCUAGAGCUGAAUACGAGGCUUGGGAUUCAGGACUCUCCUUGUAGAGGACAGAGUUAGGUACCUUAUCCCUUCCCAGAAUUGGAAUGCAGAGAUGUAGAGUCACUCAGAUUUCCAAUGACAGUCCCAGCUGACCCCUGGCUGGGAUAUUUUCCCACCCUACAUUUCUUGCCCAGGCCCUGUCUUCUACUGUGGGUUAAGCCAUGAGCUUGUGCUAGUCCAGUCACCCCCGCCUGCACUUUCGCAGGACCUGGUCAGCCAGUGUUCACUUCCUCUUUCCCCGCCACACAGGCCACGCUUUGGAUGUCAGUGGACAGUCCUGCCCUACUAGGGGACCUCCCGUGGGGCCUCAGGCCUGAGGGGCUCCUAGGGGUGGUCCUGGCACUGCAACCCUGCUGCAGGGGCCCCUGCGGCAGGCCCAGGCUGUGGCCAGCUUUGGGUGCUGGCUUGGUCUCUAUCGUUUGUUUGCCUUCCCCUCCCCUACCACUCCAGCCGACCACCGCAAAACUGAGCUACACUAUCCCUCCCAAGCCACCCGUCAUGGUCACAGAGGGAGCACAGCGCUGUGCCGAUGCGCUGAGGGCUGUCAGCUCACCCCCACCCAACUGGAAUGAGCCACCUGCAUCCACACACAGGUGUUUCCUGUGCUCCUUCCUGUUACCGUUUUUUUUUUCUGCUCGGCUUCCCCAGCAGGUGGUUAAGGGCCCGGCCAAACCUCUUCAUACACAGCUCUAAAACACAGGGGGGCAGGGCUCGGCUCUCUGGGGAUCUGGGUCACCCCCCAGGGGGGACUGUUGGCAUCUCAUUGGCUCUACCUGAGUGCAGGGACACAGACUCCCCCCAGGGUGUCACGCUGCUGUGCUACAGCCACAGGUACUGGGACGCCAGAGUGGGCUCAGGGAGUGGGGAAGGCCCUGCCCUUGCAUGGUCUCCAUUGAAAGCUCUGGAGGGAGAGGGGAAGGGUGGAAGACCUGUUUCUCCAGCCUUGAGUGUGGGCCUCCCUCGGGCCCUCCUUAGAACAGGCCUGCCAUGCUGAAGUCCCCCCCUACCCUCAGGCUCCUCCCAUUGAACACUUAACUUUCCGGGGUUAAUAAACUCACGUGAGCCCUCUCCCUGGAGCCCUCUUUCCUGAAGCAGCACAAGUCUGCCAGCUGUGGGGGAGGUCACAGGGUUUAGUCAGGUUUGUUAUUACGGAGAGGAGGUGGCUCAGGGAGAGGCGGGACUUUCUGAUUAGAGUCACAGGGCAGCCAUCCGGGUCUCCUGCCUCCCAGGCCCGGGCUUUCCCCCUCUGCAAGCGUCUCCUUUCAACCACCCAGUGCUCAAGGAGCUCCUAGUGCUCAAGGAGCUCCUCGUGCUCAGCCCCUUCUGCAGGAAGCUGCCCGGGCUGAGGCGAAGACCCAGAAGCCUGGCGUUCCCUGACGGGGUUCUGCUGCUCCCUGGUGGCCAGAAGCUCCAGCCACCACCACACCUCUUCCUGCCUGCUUCCUCUUUGCCUCCUGGCCAAGUGAGCUGGCUGCUAGGGAGCCAUUCCCAGGACUGGCACCCUUUGGGCCUUCUCUAGGCCAACUCCACGGUUUGGCUCCA